AUGACAGUUGAAUGUACGAAGUACCACUCACCCACUACUUUGAGCUUUUCUAGCAAGGAGGAAUCUGUGGCCUCCAUGGUCCUCCACUACAAGCACGGCUUCUCGGGCUUCGCCGCCAUGCUCACCCGAGACCAAGCCAAAAGACUUGCAGAGUUUCCUGGAGUUAUCAGCGUGGAGCCGAGCAGGAGGAUCAGGACGACCACCACGCGGAGCUGGGACUUCCUUGGGCUCAACUGCUCGUCCUCCCACUCACACGCGCCGCCCAGUGAGCUGCUCCACAUGAGCAACUGCGGAGAGGAUGUAAUCAUCGGUGUGGUUGACUCCGGUCCGUAUAUUUUAAUUGGUUAUGAAUGUGGUUGGGUGCAUCACUCUGUGCAAAGGGAUCUGGCCGGAGUCGAGGAGCUUCAGCGAUGUAGGGUAUGGGCCGGUGCCAUCAAGGCCUCCGGACCUGACUCGCUGUCGCCACGUGACCACACCGACCAUGGCACACAUUGUGCGUCCAUCGCAGCGGGCUCAGCCGUAGGCGUCGAGGAGGAGGCGGCAAGCUUCCAUGGCCUCGCCGCGGGGGUCGCACAGGGAGGUGCGCCGCGCGCUCGCAUCGCGAUGUACAAGAUCAUCUGGCGUGAUGAUGGCGCCAGCUCCACGGCACUCCUUCUGGCCGCCAUGGACGACGCGAUCCACGACGGGGUGGACGUAUUGUCGCUGUCCCUCGGUGAAUCGGACGAGAACUCAUUCGGCGCCUUGCACGCUGUCCAAAAAGGGAUUACCGUGGUGUACGCCGCCUCAAACGAAGGGCCCAGGCCACAGACCGUCAAGAACACUGCACCAUGGGUCAUCACCGUGGCGGCAAGCAAGAUCGACCGCUCGUUCCCGACGGUGAUCACAUGGGGAAACAAGCAGCAGAUGGUGGGACAAUCUCUCUAUUACCAAGUAAAGAACAACAACUCGUGUCAUCAAGGACCAGCAGUUUCAAAGAGCUUAAAUGUGUACCAUCUUCCCCCAAAACCUACGUUUUACAUGGGCUGCCACCGCCGGCGCCAUGACCGUUUCCGCUUCGGGCGCCGCCAACUCCGGGUCUAUCCCCGCGUCGCUUGCCGCCCUUCUCAACCUCCCACCUCGCCCCCUAGCUCCGUCCGUGCCUCAGUUCUUCGGCACCACCGCCGUCGGCUCCCUGUUUUCAGCGCUGAUCCCACCGUCACCGCCAGGGACGGCCUCAGCACCAAUCGCGUCGCCGCCGCCCGCGUGGCCUCCUCUGGAUCCUCCUCGACACUCGCCGUCAUCCCGGCGACCUCGGGGGAGACGCUGCCCGCGGAGCCACCCGCGGCCGUGAUCCCGAUCGUCCCCGCGCCGCCACCCGCGGCAUCGGUCGCGGUCGUGGAUCCUGUCGCGGCUCCGCCGCCAAUCGUCCCUGCUGCUGGCGCAAUCACGCCCACCGGGCCUUGUGCGCCGAUCCAUGGCGAAUUUGAUGGCAUGGACGUGAAAGGGGCUAUCGUCGUGUGCUCAAGCGAUCGGGCGGAGGAUUUCGCCCUUACGGCGCAGAACGUGGAGCAAGCCGGGGGAUCCGGGCUCAUCUUCGCGCAGUACACAACAGACACGAUCAGUUCGACGGUGGAUUACUGCUCGGGCAUCGCCUGCGUUAUCGUUGACGCCUACAUAUCCAGGAGGAUAUGCCAGUACACCCGCGACUCAAGCUCUCCACAGGCAAAGAUUGAACCAUCAAGCACCGUCACUGGCAAGAAGGUGUUGGCCCCUAAAGUGGCGUCAUUCUCCUCCAGAGGCCCGUUGACUGAUUACCCGGACUUCAUCAAGCCUGACAUAGCUGCGCCCGGAGCCAACAUCUUAGCAGCAGUGGGAGAUUCCUAUGCAACUAUGUCAGGGACGUCCAUGGCAACCCCACACGUAGCAGGAAUCGUCGCGCUGCUCAAAGCUCUCCAUUCAGAUUGGUCUCCUGCUGCAAUAAAAUCAGCCAUCAUCACCACCGCCCAUAUAACCGAUGAACGUGGCAUGCCCAUAUCGGCGGAAGGACUGCCGCGGAAGGUCGCCGACCCGUUCGACUAUGGAGGUGGGAACAUCAACCCUGGCGGGGCAGCUCAUCCAGGCCUAAUUUACGACAUCGAGCCACAAGAUUAUAACAAAUUCUUCCGAUGCGCCAUCAUCAAGAAGGGGCCAUCGACGCUUGCGAUAUGCAACAACACUGCUAUGCUACCAGCAUAUAACCUCAACAUGUCGUCCAUCUCGGUUCCUGAUUUGAGGGGUCCGAUCACCGUCACGAGGACGGUGACCAAUGUCGGCGAGGUCCAUUCUAUGUAUCAUGUUGUAGUCCAGAGCCCUGCCGGUGUCAAGAUGGAGGUUUGCCCGCCUGUUCUUGUGUUCGAUGAUGCGAACAAAGUCCGGAAAUAUGACGUGAAGUUGUCACCUAUGUGGAACUUGCAAGGGGACUACACGUUUGGCAGUGUUACUUGGCAGAACGACCGACAAGCAGUGAGGAUUCCAGUUGCAGCUCGGAUUACAAUUCAGGAUUUCUACGCGGGUGUUGCAUGA
This 2541-nucleotide ribosomal RNA is filed under the name Triticum aestivum (bread wheat). RNAcentral's name for it is "partial small subunit ribosomal RNA". Lineage: Eukaryota; Viridiplantae; Streptophyta; Magnoliopsida; Poales; Poaceae. The record is from RNAcentral.